Heterocephalus glaber (naked mole-rat) is the source of this 302-nucleotide unclassified non-coding RNA. It matches the Rfam family "Metazoan signal recognition particle RNA". From Rfam's summary of the family: The signal recognition particle (SRP) is a universally conserved ribonucleoprotein. It is involved in the co-translational targeting of proteins to membranes. Lineage: Eukaryota; Metazoa; Chordata; Mammalia; Rodentia; Bathyergidae. The record is from Ensembl.
GUUGGGCAUAGUGGCGGGUGCCUGUAGUCCCAGCUACCCAGGAGGCUGAGGUGGGAGGAUCGCUUGAGUCCAGGAAUUCCGGGCUGCAGUGUAUUAUGCUGAUCGGGUGUCCACACUAAGUUCGGCAUCAAUAUGGUGACCUCCUGGGAACAGGGGUCCACCAGGUUGCCUAAGGGGGCGUGAACUGGCCCAGGUCGGAAAUGAGCAGGUCAAAACUCCUGUGCUGAUAAAAAGGGCUAGGGAUAUAUCUCAGUGGUAGAGUGCUCCUUGGUUCAAUCCCCAGGACUUCCAAAAACAAACAA